GAUGAACGCUGGCGGCAUGCCUAACACAUGCAAGUCGAACGGGAAGACGUGUUUCCCGUGGCGGUCGGGUGAGCAACGCGCAAGAACCUGCCCUUGGGAGGGGAACAACAGCUGGAAACGGCUGCUAAUACCCCGUAGGCCGAGGAGCAAAAGAUAUAAUCCACCGGAGGAGGCGCUCGCGUCUGACUAGUUAGUUGGUGCGUCAAGAGCUUACCAAGCCGCUGAUCAGUAGCUGAUCCGAGAGGAUGAUCGGCCACACUGGGAGAGAGACACGGUCCAGACUGCUACUGGAAGCCGGAGUAGGGUACUUUGGGCGAUAGGCGUGAGGAUGAUGCAGCAAUGGGGGGUGGGUGAACAAGGCAAUGGGGCGUGGAAGUAGUAUUAUUACGGAAGAAGAACUGCUUUUCCAGGAGAAGAAGCAAUGACGGUACCUGAGGAAUAAGCAUCGGCUAACUCCGUG
Molecule: ribosomal RNA, 460 nt
Filed under: uncultured bacterium
Lineage: Bacteria
Description: partial 16S ribosomal RNA
Rfam family: Bacterial small subunit ribosomal RNA
Source: RNAcentral